ACACACGAAGGGAGGUGAUCGGGUACAUGAGUGAAACCCGGACGCGUGAGGUGGCUGCGGGCUAGCGGCCUGCUACCACACCCUGUGCGGUGCCGGGCCGGCGUGGGUUAGUACCACGCAGCCGGCCCAAUCCAACGCAGUCACCCGACCCGCGAGCUCGCCGGUACGUCCGGCCGGCCCUUCCUCCGGAGGGACCGAGCUCGCGGGUCGCCUGCG
Molecule: small RNA, 216 nt
Filed under: Streptomyces sp. NRRL WC-3618
Lineage: Bacteria; Bacillati; Actinomycetota; Actinomycetes; Kitasatosporales; Streptomycetaceae
Description: Actinobacteria sRNA Ms_IGR-5
Rfam family: Actinobacteria sRNA Ms_IGR-5
Source: Rfam by way of RNAcentral